Molecule: non-coding RNA, 73 nt
Organism: Cebus imitator (Panamanian white-faced capuchin)
Lineage: Eukaryota; Metazoa; Chordata; Mammalia; Primates; Cebidae
Source: the annotation of a RefSeq genome assembly
GUUUCUGUAGUGUAGCGGUUAUCACGUUCGCCUCACACGCGAAAGGUCCCCGGUUCGAUCCCGGGCGGAAACA